CCUCGAGGUGUUGCCUGAGUACGGCGAGUGUAGCGGCAAAAGCUCAAAUUUGAAAUCUGGCACAUUCGGUGUCCGAGUUGUAAUUUGAAGAAGGUAACUUUGGAGUUGGCUCUUGUCUAUGUUCCUUGGAACAGGACGUCACAGAGGGUGAGAAUCCCGUGCGAUGAGAUGCCCAAUUCUAUGUAAAGUGCUUUCGAAGAGUCGAGUUGUUUGGGAAUGCAGCUCUAAGUGGGUGGUAAAUUCCAUCUAAAGCUAAAUAUUGGCGAGAGACCGAUAGCGAACAAGUACAGUGAUGGAAAGAUGAAAAGAACUUUGAAAAGAGAGUGAAAAAGUACGUGAAAUUGUUGAAAGGGAAGGGCUUGAGAUCAGACUUGGUAUUUUGCGAUCCUUUCCUUCUUGGUUGGGUUCCUCGCAGCUUACUGGGCCAGCAUCGGUUUGGAUGGUAGGAUAAUGACUAAGGAAUGUGGCUCUACUUCGGUGGAGUGUUAUAGCCUUGGUUGAUACUGCCUGUCUAGACCGAGGACUGCGUCUUUUGACUAGGAUGUUGGCAUAAUGAUCUUAAGCCACCCGUCUAAAAAAAGGGGGAAAAAAACAACCCC
Molecule: ribosomal RNA, 599 nt
Filed under: Debaryomyces hansenii
Lineage: Eukaryota; Fungi; Ascomycota; Pichiomycetes; Serinales; Debaryomycetaceae
Description: LSU rRNA
Rfam family: Eukaryotic large subunit ribosomal RNA
Source: RNAcentral